RNAcentral lists this ribosomal RNA (405 nucleotides) under uncultured bacterium. Its description in RNAcentral is "bacterial SSU rRNA". It matches the Rfam family "Bacterial small subunit ribosomal RNA", at positions 354 to 776 of the family's 1533-position model. The record is from RNAcentral.
GUGGGGAAUAUUGCACAAUGGGCGAAAGCCUGAUGCAGCGACGCCGCGUGAGUGAAGAAGUAUCUCGGUAUGUAAAGCUCUAUCAGCAGGGAAGAAAAUGACGGUACCUGACUAAGAAGCCCCGGCUAACUACGUGCCAGCAGCCGCGGUAAUACGUAGGGGGCAAGCGUUAUCCGGAUUUACUGGGUGUAAAGGGAGCGUAGACGGCGACGCAAGUCUGGAGUGAAAGCCCGGGGCCCAACCCCGGGACUGCUUUGGAAACUGUGCUGCUGGAGUGCAGGAGAGGUAAGUGGAAUUCCUAGUGUAGCGGUGAAAUGCGUAGAUAUUAGGAGGAACACCAGUGGCGAAGGCGGCUUACUGGACUGUAACUGACGUUGAGGCUCGAAAGCGUGGGGAGCAAACAGG